GGAGGUUCAGAAAGAUGCCACACAAGGUCGGAAGCCGAAAAAAUUCUAGAAGGGUCGAUCUUUUACAAACUUCGGCUGGGAGUAUUUUAUACCCAAUAAUUGUAAUUGUCCAUCUACUCAUCAAGUAUAACUUGUUAACUUUGGGCUGGAUAGGUUCUUAACAUUAGAAUAGUCUGAUACAAAAUAUUGCUUAAUUUUUUAAAUCUUAAGAAUGAUUCUUAGGUUUGUGAGUUCAGUAAAUCAGUUGAUAUCUAGGAUUUGAGCUAG
This 267-nucleotide long non-coding RNA is filed under the name Elaeis guineensis (African oil palm). RNAcentral's name for it is "long non-coding RNA (EGUI_LNC051536)". Lineage: Eukaryota; Viridiplantae; Streptophyta; Magnoliopsida; Arecales; Arecaceae. The record is from RNAcentral.